CCGGUAAUUUAGCUUGUUGGUCGGGUAAAGGCCUACCAAGACUAUGAUCAGUAGCUGGUUUGAGAGGACGAUCAGCCACACUGGGACUGAGACACGGCCCAGAUCCCUACGGGGAGCAGCAGUGAGGAAUCUUCCGCAAUGGGCGAAAGCCUGACGGAGCACUAUCGCGUGGAGGAAGACAGCUCGUGAGUUGUAAACUCCUUUUGUCAAAGAAGAAAAAUGACGGUAUUUGACGAAUAAGCAUCGGCUAAACUCUGUGCCAGCAGCCGCGGUAAUACAGGGGAUGCAAGCGUUAUCCGGAAUUAUUGGGCGUAAAGCGUUUUGAGGUGGGUCACCAAGUCUGCUGUGAAAGAUCAGGGCUUAACCCUGAAUAUGCGGUGCGACUCUGUAUUUUACAGAGUUGAUACUUUUGUCUAACAAGAGUAUGAAACUAAUGGCCUUGAGUACGGUAGGGGUAGAGGGAAUUCUCGGAGAAGCGGUGAAAUGCAUAGAUAUCGGGAAGAACACCAAAGGCGAAAGG
RNAcentral lists this ribosomal RNA (520 nucleotides) under Jaagichlorella luteoviridis. Its description in RNAcentral is "bacterial SSU rRNA". It matches the Rfam family "Bacterial small subunit ribosomal RNA", at positions 233 to 721 of the family's 1533-position model. The record is from RNAcentral. Lineage: Eukaryota; Viridiplantae; Chlorophyta; Trebouxiophyceae; Watanabeales; Watanabeaceae.